RNAcentral lists this ribosomal RNA (428 nucleotides) under uncultured bacterium. RNAcentral describes it as "bacterial SSU rRNA". It matches the Rfam family "Bacterial small subunit ribosomal RNA", at positions 354 to 796 of the family's 1533-position model. The record is from RNAcentral.
GUUAGGAAUUUUGCGCAAUGGGGGAAACCCUGACGCAGCAACGCCGCGUGAAGGAUGAAGGCUUUCGGGUUGUAAACUUCUUUAGGCAGGAAAGAACACAAUGACGGUACCUGCAGAAUAAGCACCGGCUAACUCUGUGCCAGCAGCCGCGGUAAUACAGAGGGUGCAAGCGUUAUUCGGAAUUACUGGGCAUAAAGAGCGCGUAGGCGGUUCGAUAAGUCUGAUGUGAAAUCCCUGGACUCAAUUCAGGAAGUGCAUCGGAUACUGUCGGACUUGAGUAUAGGAGGGGAGAGCGGAAUUCCUGGUGUAGAGGUGAAAUUCGUAGAUAUCAGGAGGAACAACAGUGGCGAAGGCGGCUCUCUGGACUAUUACUGACGCUGAGGCGCGAAAGCGUGGGGAGCAAACAGGAUUAGAAACCCCUGUAGUCC